CCACCACCAAAGCAUUCUCUGGUGUUGAAGGCCCUGCAAAGCAGCAUCGCGGUGGCGGAGCGUCGUUUGCGACGCCCAACACACAAAACAAGCGGUGAGUGCUUUGGGGUGGGGUGACUGCGUACCUUUUGUAUAAUGGGUCAGCGACUUAUAUUCUGUAGCAAGGUUAACCGAAUAGGGGAGCCGUAGGGAAACCGAGUCUUAACCGGGCGUUAAGUUGCAGGGUAUAGACCCGAAACCCGGUGAUCUAGCCAUGGGCAGGUUGAAGGUUGGGUAACACUAACUGGAGGACCGAACCGACUAAUGUUGAAAAAUUAGCGGAUGACCUGUGGCUGGGGGUGAAAGGCCAAUCAAACCGGGAGAUAGCUGGUUCUCCCCGAAAGCUAUUUAGGUAGCGCCUCGUGAAUUCAUCUCCGGGGGUAGAGCACUGUUUCGGCUAGGGGGCCAUCCCGGCUUACCAACCCGAUGCAAACUGCGAAUACCGGAGAAUGUUAUCACGGGAGACACACGGCGGGUGCUAACGUCCGUCGUGAAGAGGGAAACAACCCAGACCGCCAGCUAAGGUCCCAAAGUCAUGGUUAAG
RNAcentral lists this ribosomal RNA (583 nucleotides) under Salmonella enterica subsp. enterica serovar Bareilly. RNAcentral's name for it is "partial 23S ribosomal RNA". The stretch from base 88 to 583 matches the Rfam family "Bacterial large subunit ribosomal RNA", at positions 566 to 1063 of the family's 2925-position model. Lineage: Bacteria; Pseudomonadati; Pseudomonadota; Gammaproteobacteria; Enterobacterales; Enterobacteriaceae. The record is from RNAcentral.